UACGUAGGGUGCGAGCGUUAAUCGGAAUUACUGGGCGUAAAGUGUGCGCAGGCGGCCGCGCAAGUCGAGUGUGAAAGCCCCGAGCUUAACUUGGGAAUUGCGCUCGAAACUACGUGGCUGGAGUGUGGCAGAGGAAGGUGGAAUUCCAGGUGUAGCGGUGAAAUGCGUAGAGAUCUGGAGGAACACCAAUGGCGAAGGCAGCUCGCUGGGACGGUACUGACGCUGAGACGCGAAAGCGUGGGGAGCGAACAGG
This 253-nucleotide ribosomal RNA is filed under the name uncultured bacterium. RNAcentral describes it as "partial 16S ribosomal RNA". It matches the Rfam family "Bacterial small subunit ribosomal RNA", at positions 524 to 776 of the family's 1533-position model. The record is from RNAcentral.